AGUAAGUCAACAUGCACAGAGUUUUAAAGGAAGUGUCUAAGAACUUAUUUCUUGUUUCUUGAAUAUCCUUCUUUUAUUCAAAUCACAUUUUAAAACUCAGAAGGUUGAAUGUUUUAAGGAAGAUUUGCAGAAAGAUACGCUGUUAAUUCCAUUUCAGUUGCCCACGAAACUGAAUUGAUUGUUGGUCCUUCCUUCAGCUCAAAGUCAAAAGGGGAGGAGCUUCACCAAAGCUCCAGUCGUUUUCCUACAUUGGGACCACUCAGGCGCAUGGCCUUCUGUAAGGCAGAGCCAAGAAAGUGCUAGUACCCAAGACUGGUCUAAUACUCCAGAGUACUGAGGCAAAGUAUAAAAGGAGACUCAAGAAUGAGACUUCAAAGGGAGAAGAACCAAGUUGGUAGAACAGCAUGGAAGUUUUUUUGUGUCUGGCUGAUCAACACUAAACCAUCCUGCACACCUAGAAAACUGAUUUGAGGAUUAACACAACAAUCUGCACAACCCAAACCACAGAACUCAGCAGCUCCGUCUCUCUAUUUCUUAAGCUUCUACUGCCUAACAGAUUCUUCAGCUUCCAGCUCUACUCUGUGCCUCCUGUCUCAGGGCCUCUGACUGCUGCAAUUCACCGAGGUACAGCUCAGGGAGCUUCGGUUCAUCCUCCAAGUGGACCUGAAGGUCAGCAUGCCCGCCCUUGGGCUCAAGUGUCUCAAAGUUAUUCUGGAUCUUCUUAAUCGGAUCUAACAUCUGCAGUUGUUGUUUUCCCCUGUUCUCUGAUCUGCAUGUUAAUUUUUCAAGAUAAAGCAAGUGAAAUACUAGGACAUAUUCUUAUCAAAAUGGAAUGCAUUACAUAUCAAAUGAUCA
Molecule: long non-coding RNA, 855 nt
Filed under: Felis catus (domestic cat)
Lineage: Eukaryota; Metazoa; Chordata; Mammalia; Carnivora; Felidae
Description: lncRNA (ENSFCAG00000040641.2)
Source: RNAcentral